Molecule: ribosomal RNA, 509 nt
Filed under: uncultured eukaryote
Lineage: Eukaryota
Description: bacterial SSU rRNA
Rfam family: Eukaryotic small subunit ribosomal RNA
Source: RNAcentral
CUCCCGCGAGAAAUCAGGAGUAUUCGGUUCCGGGGGGAGUAUGGUCGCAAGGCCGAAACUUAAAGGAAUUGACGGAAGGGCACCACCAGGAGUGGAAUCUGCGGCUUAAUUUGACAACGCGGGAAAACUCACCAGGUCAGGACACGGUAAGGAUUGACGGACUGAAGGAUCUUUCUCGAUUCCGUGGAAAGUGGUGCAUGGCCGUUUUGGUUGGUGGAUCGAUCCGUCUGGUUAAUUCCGUUAACGAACGAGACCUCGGCACUCCGAAUAGCGCGGCGGACGUCGCGGCCUCCGGGCCGUCUUCCGCGCGAGCUUCUUAGAGGGACCGUCCCCCGCCGGGGAAGGAGGUUCGAGGCAACGACAGGUCUGUGAUGCCCUUAGAUGUUCUGGGCCGCACGCGCAUUACACUGACGCGUCCAACGGGCGACUCCCGGCCCGAAGGGGUCGGGGAAUCCGCAAGGCGCGUCGUGAUGGGGAUUGAACGUUGCAAUUGUUGUUCACGAACGAGG